This 477-nucleotide ribosomal RNA is filed under the name uncultured bacterium. RNAcentral's name for it is "bacterial SSU rRNA". It matches the Rfam family "Bacterial small subunit ribosomal RNA", at positions 365 to 832 of the family's 1533-position model. The record is from RNAcentral.
UUCGCAAUGCCCGAAAGGGUGACGAAGCGACGCCGCGUGUGGGAAGAAGGCCUUCGGGUUGUAAACCACUGUCGGGAGUUAAGAAAUGCAAGGAUAUUAAUAGUGUCUUUGUUUGACUAAGGCUCCGGAGGAAGCCACGGCUAACUCUGUGCCAGCAGCCGCGGUAAUACAGAGGCGGCAAGCGUUGUUCGGAAUUAUUGGGCGUAAAGAGCACGUAGGCGGCUAUGUAAGUCGGUUGUGAAAGCCUUCCGCUCAACGGAAGAACAGCAUCCGAUACUACAUGGCUUGAGUGCGGGAGGGGAGAGUGGAACUUCAGGUGGAGCGGUGAAAUGCGUAGAUAUCAGAAGGAACGCCGGCGGCGAAAGCGGCUCUCUGGCCCAUAACUGACGCUGAGUGUGCGAAAGCUAGGGGAGCAAACGGGAUUAGAUACCCCGGUAGUCCUAGCCGUAAACGAUGGGCACUAAGUAGAGGGGUUUU